RNA transcript from Myotis daubentonii (Daubenton's bat), 3211 nucleotides. It is a transcript of the gene named proline rich 16, with no coding region annotated. The transcript is spliced from 3 exons. Lineage: Eukaryota; Metazoa; Chordata; Mammalia; Chiroptera; Vespertilionidae. The record is from RefSeq and is a predicted model, not a curated record.
GGACAGUUAAAAAAAUAGAAAAAAAAAGGGAUCGCUGUCCCAGAUAAGUACAGCCAAGAUGACUCAGACAGUCUUCCAGGGGAUUUUUGGUGUAGAGACUUAAAAUUAAUAAACCCGCUGUUAGUUUUGUGGAAUCCAAGGGGUUGGGCAACCUCUUUCAAGAACACUGCUUGAUUUCAUGAUUCCAGGGGGCGAGCGGUUGCUAUUUAUUUCUGCAGAAGUAAGAACACCUCUGUGGACCUCUUAGUCGCUUUGAGAAUGAUUGGAGGCCUUCUGGACAUACUUGGGUCCUGGAUAAACACGUAGGGUCGCUUUACUGACCCUAAAUCCAACUCUUGGCCCGAUUUAUGCGACUUUCUGACUUGAUCGGAAAGCGUGGUGGGUCUCUGCUCCAGGGGGAAGCAGGAGGAAUCUAGUCUAGAUGUGAGAAGACAGAGGCUGCGGGGAUGAGGGCUUUUCAGGAUCCAGACAUGGGGGUGGGAAAGGCAGGAACUUGUCUUCCCGCCCUCUGAGGCCCAGGGGUUCCGGGAGAGAUCCCGGAGGGAAGUGCCGCGGCGGGGACUGCAGCUGACAGCCCUGGGCGCCGCGGCCGGCUUCCCCACGCGGGGCAGGGAGCGCGCGCGGCUGUGCGCGAGCGGCGGGCGGCGGCGGGCGGAGGCGCAGGCGCGCUGCUCGCCCGUCUGCAGCCCCGCGCCGAGCGCCGCGUCUCGGGGAGUUGAUGGCAGCACCACAGUGCGGCCGCCGGGCCGAGCGCCGAGCGCAGCCACCCGCCGCCGCUCAGAGUGCUUCCAAGAUGCUGGGCGAUUGGGGCGGCAGCGGUCGCAGCAGCGCCAGGGACGGGGGCGCGCAGGAGCCUCCGCUUGCCCGCCUCCGCUGACCUGCCUCGUUUGGCCCCAAAGAAUGUCCUCCAAGUCCAAGGGGACCCCCUCCUCGUCCUCUCUCGCCGAGGGACCGCCGGCAGGCUCCAAGACCAAGGUGAAGGAACAGAUCAAGAUCAUCGUGGAGGAUUUGGAGUUAGUCCUGGGCGACCUGAAGGACGUGGCCAAGGAACUUAAGGAGGUGGUUGACCAGAUUGAUACCCUGACCUCUGACCUACAGCUGGAGGAUGAGAUGACCGACAGCUCCAAAACGGACACCCUGAAUAGUAGCUCAAGCAGCACGACAGCCUCCAGCCUAGAGAAGAUCAAAGUGCAGGCCAAUGCACCGCUCAUUAAACCCCCAGCACACCCAUCUGCGAUCCUCACGGUCCUGAGAAAGCCAAACCCUCCGCCGCCUCCUCCGCGGUUGACGCCCGUGAAGAGUGAAGACCCCCAAAGGGUGGCGCCCGCUGUCAAUCCUGUAAAGACCAAUGGCACCCUUCUGCGGAAUGGUGGCUUACCAGGAGCACCAAACAAAAUCCCCAAUGGAGACAUCUGCUGCACACCCGGUAGCAACUCGGACAAGGCGUCCGUGCAGCCUCUGAUGCAUAGACCUGAAAAAGACAGGUGUCCCCAGGCAGGGCCUCGGGAAAGGGUUCGGUUUAAUGAAAAAGUGCAGUACCAUGGCUAUUGUCCUGACUGUGAGACCCGGUAUAACAUAAAAAACCGGGAGGUCCAUUUGCACAGUGAACCUGCCCAGCCGCCAGGAAAGCUUCCUCCCCAAGGCCCUCCCCGCCCUCCUCCACCGCAUCUCCCUCCAGUGCCACUGGGAAAUGGGGGGCCGGGAAUAAGCCACAGUAACAGCUACCCGCCUCCCAGACCUGCAACUGUGCCUCCUCCCACUGCGCCAAAACCACAGAAGACGAUCUUGAGGAAAUCAACCACUACAACAGUGUGAUGUAUGCCAUUUAAAAACACUUUUUAUUUUAUUUUCAUUUUUAUAUUAUAAACAUAAUAAGUAAUGCGCACUUUCUACUCAAGCAAUAAAAAGCCCAAAUAUAUUAAUCCUGCAUUCAGCAAAGUGGCAUAAAAAUCACCUGCUCCUUCAGAUUGGAAGGAAAUCUUUAUUUGGAGGCAUGUCAGCUCAUUUUUCUCACUUCAGAUUCAUCAUUAUGACUUCUUGAGGCCAGAUGUAAUUUUGAAAUAACCAGGAACUUGUCCAUCUCAGAGCAGCAAAUUCCCUCAACUUUGGAGCACAAGUGAUUACUGAUAUGGUCUGCAUAAAAUCAUCUGCCUCUAGUCUGACAGCCAUGAGCAGAGCCCUAGGGGUGAAAAAAAGCCACAGCCUUAAAUCUCUUCACUCAGAAAUUAUCAAGAAGAUUUAAUAUAUAUAUGAAAAGGACUAAACAAUUCAGCCAACAAAAAACAGAAACCAAACAAAACUCAUUUUCCUUCACCAUGAAAAUAAAUAUUUCCAGAUGUGAACCCAUGAAAAUGUAUAUUCGGCAGUUAAGCUAGUAAAUUAUUAUCAAUUGAUUUAUCAUUUGGGAAGGUAAAAUAGAGAUAGGAAAUAUCUCUAGUCAGAAUUACUCAGCAUUUCAAAAUAAAUAUGUAGACAAAAAUAAACUGAACAAACAGAGGAGCAUUGCGGCAAUGAACAGUAGUAUUAGGACAGAAUGUUGCUGUUUGCAGAGAGGAUGUUUGCCAUCUUGUGUAUACCCUUAAAGCCAUAAUGGAAUAACAGCAUUAUUGUCAAUUGCUUGAAAUGUUUCUGCAUUCAGUCCUUCACUCCAUAUUGUUUGAGAGAGGGGGGAAGUCAGUCUUACUGAUUAUUUCUCAAUGCACUUCUAAUAUUUGCACUGUCACUUCCAUUCAGGGUAAUGAUGUGUGCUGUUAUUUGCACAGAUGGUCCCAUGAGUUUUGAGACCACAACAAGCAGUUUCUUGUAGGAGUCCAAAAAGGAAACACUUAAGAGUUCUGCAGACAUUGCUUUCUCUUCUAUAAAAAUCAGUUACCUAAAAAAAAAAAAAAGAUUUGUCUCAGAUUAAAAUAAUAAGUAUAGAAUAAUAACAAAAAAGCAUCAGUGUGGUCAAAUGAAUGAAAAAGGGAUCAAAUUUUUUAAUGAAAUCAUUUUAUAUCAUUAACAGCCAAGAAGUCAAAUACAGUGAACUGUACACUAAACAUUUGUGUUGAACAUCUAUUUGUUCUCUGAAUUUAAAAAAAUCAUUUGUAAUUUGUAUUUGACAUAUAAUAACAGUUUUUUAUAGCCAUUUAUCUAUGCUUCAUGGGAUAAUGUACCAAACAGCAUUUUCAGUUUAUUUUUCUAAAUAAAUGUGUUGUUUGUAUUAUUUGUA